CUGCGAUUUCUGCGACUUACCACCGUAUGAAAAAGUUACAUCUGUCAACACAGAAAAUUGCAUCUCAACAAACCUGUCAUUGGCAAGUACCUGAACUACAUUUCAGUCACUCAGUAAAGUGAUAACUCAAAAUAUCAUUGUCAACAGAGCUGAAGAAAUUGCCAUUGCGUCUUUAGACCGUUUUCGUCAGACGAGAGACACAGUUCUGACUCCGAUUACUGGUUGCUGUACGUAUCUAUCCACAUGAUGGCUGUUUUUGAGAGAGACUCGUGAAGAUUCAAGACAGCUCUUAGA
Schistocerca cancellata (South American locust) is the source of this 294-nucleotide long non-coding RNA. RefSeq lists it as uncharacterized. The transcript is spliced from 3 exons. The record is from RefSeq and is a predicted model, not a curated record. NCBI's taxonomy places the organism in Eukaryota, Metazoa, Arthropoda, Insecta, Orthoptera, Acrididae.